RNAcentral lists this ribosomal RNA (1019 nucleotides) under uncultured bacterium. Its description in RNAcentral is "bacterial SSU rRNA". It matches the Rfam family "Bacterial small subunit ribosomal RNA", at positions 355 to 1375 of the family's 1533-position model. The record is from RNAcentral.
UGAGGAAUAUUGGUCAAUGGCCGAGAGGCUGAACCAGCCAAGUCGCGUGAAGGAAGAAGGAUCUAUGGUUUGUAAACUUCUUUUAUAGGGGAAUAAAGUGGAGGACGUGUCCUUUUUUGUAUGUACCCUAUGAAUAAGCAUCGGCUAACUCCGUGCCAGCAGCCGCGGUAAUACGGAGGAUGCGAGCGUUAUCCGGAUUUAUUGGGUUUAAAGGGUGCGUAGGUGGUGAUUUAAGUCAGCGGUGAAAGUUUGUGGCUCAACCAUAAAAUUGCCGUUGAAACUGGGUUACUUGAGUGUGUUUGAGGUAGGCGGAAUGCGUGGUGUAGCGGUGAAAUGCAUAGAUAUCACGCAGAACUCCGAUUGCGAAGGCAGCUUACUAAACCAUAACUGACACUGAAGCACGAAAGCGUGGGGAUCAAACAGGAUUAGAUACCCUGGUAGUCCACGCAGUAAACGAUGAUUACUAGGAGUUUGCGAUACAAUGUAAGCUCUACAGCGAAAGCGUUAAAUAAUCCACCUGGGGAGUACGCCGGCAACGGUGAAACUCAAAGGAAUUGACGGGGGCCCGCACAAGCGGAGGAACAUGUGGUUUAAUUCGAUGAUACGCGAGGAACCUUACCCGGGUUUGAACGUAGUCUGACCGGAGUGGAAACACUCCUUCUAGCAAUAGCAGAUUACGAGGUGCUGCAUGGUUGUCGUCAGCUCGUGCCGUGAGGUGUCGGCUUAAGUGCCAUAACGAGCGCAACCCUUAUCACUAGUUACUAACAGGUGAAGCUGAGGACUCUGGUGAGACUGCCAGCGUAAGCUGUGAGGAAGGUGGGGAUGACGUCAAAUCAGCACGGCCCUUACAUCCGGGGCGACACACGUGUUACAAUGGCAUGGACAAAGGGCAGCUACCUGGCGACAGGAUGCUAAUCUCCAAACCAUGUCUCAGUUCGGAUCGGAGUCUGCAACUCGACUCCGUGAAGCUGGAUUCGCUAGUAAUCGCGCAUCAGCCAUGGCGCGGUGAAUACGUUCCC